UGGCAUAAUAAAGGCCACAUGGCGACUGU
Molecule: non-coding RNA, 29 nt
Filed under: Mus musculus (house mouse)
Lineage: Eukaryota; Metazoa; Chordata; Mammalia; Rodentia; Muridae
Source: RNAcentral